RNAcentral lists this ribosomal RNA (465 nucleotides) under uncultured bacterium. RNAcentral describes it as "partial 16S ribosomal RNA". It matches the Rfam family "Bacterial small subunit ribosomal RNA", at positions 338 to 795 of the family's 1533-position model. The record is from RNAcentral.
CCUACGGGGGACAGCAGUGGGGAAUAUUGCGCAAUGGGCGAAAGCCUGACGCAGCGACGCCGCGUGAGGGAUGAAGGUCUUCGGAUCGUAAACCUCUGUCAGCAGGGAAGAACGGUCACUGUGCUAAUCAGCAGUGAAUUGCCGGUACCUGCAAAGGAAGCACCGGCUAACUCAGUGCCAGCAGCCGCGGUAAUACGGAGGGGGCGAGCGUUAAUCGGAAUUACGGGGCGUAAAGCGCUCGUAGGCGGUAUGUCAAGUCAAGGGUGAAAUCCCCGCGCUCAACGUGGGAACUGCCUUUGAAACUGGCAAACUGGAGUGUGGGAGAGGAUAGUGGAAUUCCAGGUGUAGGAGUGAAAUCCGUAGAUAUCUGGAGGAACAUCAGUGGCGAAGGCGACUAUCUGGCACAUAACUGACGCUGAGGAGCGAAAGCGUGGGUAGCAAACAGGAUUAGAUACCCUGGUAGUC